AGCCGUCCUCCAGUUCGGAUUGUAGGCUGCAACUCGCCUACAUGAAGUCGGAAUCGCUAGUAAUCGCGGAUCAGCAUGCCGCGGUGAAUACGUUCCCGGGCCUUGUACACACCGCCCGUCACACCAUGAGAGUUUGUAACACCCAAAGCCGGUGGGGUAACCUUUUGGAGCCAGCCGUCUAAGGUGGGACAGAUGAUUGGGGUGAAGUCGUAACAAGGUACC
Molecule: ribosomal RNA, 222 nt
Filed under: uncultured bacterium
Lineage: Bacteria
Description: partial 16S ribosomal RNA
Rfam family: Bacterial small subunit ribosomal RNA
Source: RNAcentral